UAUAGCUUAUAGCGUAAAAAGGGAAAAAAAGUAUUUUCUAGGUAAAGGUAAGAGCAACUAUUAGUAGAGGCAGGAAAAAUAAUAUGUACAUAGAAACAUACCAAAUAAAGAAAGCUCAUGGCUUGGGGUAUUUAGGGAACCUUGCAGUUUGGCACUAUAGCACAGUCUAUGUUUGAGUUUAGUUGGAGGAAGACCAGCGGUUGGGACAUUGGGGACACUGGUGAGGUAGAUUGGUAGUGGGACUCAAGACGGAGAAUGUGAAAUCAUCAAGGGGCCAGUCACUAAGGCUUUGGGAGCCUGUGAAGAAGUUUUGUAAUUUUAUGUUUUAAGACACUUAUAGUCAUUGAAGUUAAUUUGAAUGUUGGAUAAUGUGAUCAAGAUUGUGCUUUAGGAAGAUAACUCUGAAGGCUUUUGGAACAGGGUAGUACACCAAGAACAGAGAUUUAGGAUAUUAGUUCCAAAAUUCUCAUGAUACAUCAUUGAGAAUGCAAACUAUAUGGAAACUAAAUCUGGGAAAUGAACUGAUAUAAGGGGUUUGGGAAGUAAAAUGUCAAGGAUGAAGCAGAUUUGGUUAGUUUGAAGUUGCAGCUUUUAUUUGGGGAGGAAAUAAAAGAAGGCUCCAAUGCUAAGUUCUGGAGAGGUAAUAAUGCAAUCAUUAUUUAAUUUCAUGCUCAAAAUUAUAUUUUGCUCUGUUGACCUGUCUUACAUAUUAAAGUGACCCAUAUGGUCAAAUACAAUUCAUUCUAAAAAUUGACUUGAAUACUUACAUGAAUUGAGUGCUUAAGAUAUAACUGUUGAAUUACUAUACCUACUUCUAAAAUACAUCUUUCACAGAUAUAUUUUUUAUUUCACAGAUAUAUUUUAGAAAUAGUAUUCACAUGUAAAAAGGAAAAGAAACCCUGAGUGAUAAAAGCAAACCACAUAGUGAAUAUGUGUCUAUCUUUAGGAAACAUGUUCUACUCUUCUAUCAAUUUUGUUCAUGUCAUUGCUGUCUGUAUGAGGCAGACAUUUCAGCAGAAAAUCCAAAUGUUCUUCUCAUGUACACUUGCUGUCAUGACUAAGCCACGUCAUUUUUGGACUUCAGCUGGGUCAUCAUAAAUGUGUAUUCUGGACAGUGGCUUUAAGUUUUAAAGAAAAAUAAAAUAGAAAGGGAAUAAGCUUGAACAAAAUAAAAUGGGGCAAUAGAUGAUCUUUUAAUUCAGCAAGAGACCCAACUUUUUCUUCUGUAGCUUCUACUGUUUAAACUUUUGGCUGGAGUACGUAGAGGUUAAUUUUAAAUAUGGUAAUAAUUUAAGAGCUAUCUGUUUCUCUUAUUUAUCUCCUUUGUCAUUUAUUUAACUCCUGCCAGCAGAGACCAACUUCCUACUUGCACUGAGCACUUAGGUACAAAAUAUUGCAUGCUAGCUCAUUAAUUUUUAUGUGUGGUAAAAGGUUACUUGCUUUUUUUGUUUCCCUCUAAAAAUUGUGCUACUAAACAUGUAACACCAUAGUCUGGAUUUUCAUUCUUAAGUCAAGCUUUAGAGACAGCCUCAUGGAUUAGUGGGUUUUAGAGUUAGGAUUCUUAAACUCAUCCACUAAAUUUAAGUCAACUUGAGCUAUUCACUACCUUGGGCAAAUUCCUUUAUUUCUGUAACAUUUAAUGUAGUCAUCUAUAUAAGAGCUGCAACACAACCUCCUUUUAUGGCUAAUAUAAGAAAUAAUAUUGAACAUACCAUACGCAUUAUCAGAAAAUAGAAGACCUAAGUAGUAGUUAGUUGAGUUUUGGAGAAUAAAUCCUGGAAUUGUAAUCUAAUGAAAUUGAAAACAUUUCUGGCAUCAAAAAUGAAAGGUGGAAAACAAUGCUGAUUUUUUUCCUAACUUAUACAUUCACAUCAUUUUUACAGUUAUGAAAAUGUGAUGUCAGUGAUGAGUGGAAAACCACUAGAUAAGGUGUGGAAGUUUGUAUUAGGAAGUUUCCUAAUUUUGUAAUCAGCAAAUCAACUAUUUGUACUGUUAUUAUAAAAAUAUGCCCCUGGUUCUUACAUAAAGCAAUCUGUGCAAACCCACAGUGGCAGUCCACAACCUGUUCUACAUGGACUCAGUGCAUCUUGAGUAGAGUGCUGGAGCUCCCCAGAGAAUCCACUUGCCACCUAGUGUCUAGGAAAGAGACCUUGCCUGCUGACUGCUAGGGUCUGGGGAGGAGACUGUGGCGUGGAAGGAUGAAAGGAGGAUAGAAGGGGAGAGUCUGUAAAUACUUGACACAUAAGGUCUAGUUCUUCACUAACAUUGCUAAGGAUGGCUAGAAAUGCCCUGGAGUUUAAAGGCUGUCUGCUCCUUUCAGCCAACAACUUGCCGUCUGUCUGGCACUUUUCUCCCUGGAGAUACAGUCACAAAGCAGUGUCUGCACAGUGAAUACGAUUAAAUGAAAGCCUCUGGAAAUGUCCAUGGGAAAUUAGAUAACAUGUGCUUUGAUGCAGAGAUUCGGUGUUUGAAGGUGAAAAAGACAAGCAAGACAUCAGAAGUCUGCAUCUGCUUAGAUCCAUUGCAGCACAUUAGCAUUCUGCUAAUGUGGCUUUGUAAGUUCUGCACUGAAGUCAGUUUGUUGUUUUUUUCAAGUACCAGCUGACAUUUCAGGGAAAAAGAUCAACAAACAAACAAAAACCUUUAGAUUAAAACAGGUCCUAAAGUUAGACUGGGAUGGAAUGUUAAAAUCAAGUUUUUCUUAUAUUUCCAUUAAUUAAUCAAUUAAAUUGAAAAGUACAUACUAGUCUAUUUGGGAUGGAACAUUUAGUUCUCAUAUUGUUGUCCUUGACAGGCACUAGCUCUAUGCAUGGAGGAGAACAGCCAACUCCUACCCUGGACCAUUUCUAGCAAAGGGGUGCACACUGAGUUAUAGCCAGUAUCUGGAUGGCCCAUGGCAGAAGUGCCCACAGUUCACUCUGAACCCUGGUUUCUUUUAUUUCUGGGCCUUUUAUGCAGUGCCAUAAUGUAUAGUCCUGAAUCAGAGCACACUACUGGGGUACCUAAGUUCUACCAACUGGGCAAGUGUUAUCCUGCUUUCUUCAGCUGCUGACCAAGACCUUGGUGGGCUCCAGAGUGAAGAUGGUAGGAAAUAGCAUGAGAGGAUGCUAAGAUAGUGAAUAGUACAUCUUUGUUCUCAAUGGUAUUGCAUAGAAUAUAUGUGCUAAGGUUGAGUCAUGAACACAGUCGUCUUCUGUGAUACAUAGGAGUUUUGGGUGAUGGAAAACCAAGAUCACUUCACCUUGUUCUUUACCAAGAUAGAAGGUGGUAAUCAGGAUAGGAUCAUUCAUUUAAGCUCCAGAUGCAAGGUGUAUUAGUUUUGUACUGAAGCUGUAGCAAAUGAUCACAAACUCAGUGACUAAAAAAAUUUAAUUAUUUACAGUAUUGGAGCUGUAAAUUACUGUCACCGGGCUAAAAUCAUGGUGUAAGUAGGGAUGCUUCCCUUCUGGAGGCUUUAGAGAAAAUCAGUUGUCUUGCUUUUCUAGGUACUACUAGCUGUUUGUAUUUCUUAGUUUCUAGCCCCUUCCUCUAUUUUUAAAGCCAGCAAAAUAGCAUUUUCAAAUUUCUUUCUGCUCUGAAUCUUUUCAGCUCUCCUAUAAGGACAUUGAGGGUUAAAUUGGGCCCACAAUUUAAAACCACUUUUCUCUUUGAGUAUCCUUAAUAUAUGUACUAAGUCUUUUGGCCAUAUUAAUUAAUAUAUUUGUAAGUGUGAAGAAUAGGGUGGGGCCAUAUUUGGGACCAUUAUUCUGGCUUCUUCUGAACAUACUAUUUCAGUAUUGUUCUAUUCUGUUACUUCUCUUGUUCUACUUAUGCCAUCUAAGAUUUACUCUGUUAAUAAGCUUUGUUUGUUUGAUUAUGCUUUUGUUUUUAUGGUGCUAUUAUGUGAUGAACAUGUAAUGGAAUUCUAACCAAAUGACAUCCCAGUCCAUUUUCAUUUCCCUGGUAGAUGUGUUACUCCAUCUGACACUGAUGCAGCUGUUUAUUUGGACCUAAAUGUAGAGAGAUGACAGCUGAUCUCCUGGAUUGGAGCUUUACUACAAUGAGAUAAGAAUGUAUGCUUGUCAGCCAGAAGAGAAAAAUUGGAUGAAGAGUUUAGAUUCAUUUCUGAAACUCUUAUGAAUUUUAUGAAAUGAUUGGAUUGGAAAGAAUGUUUAAUAAUCCAACCACCAGUAAACCUAUUAAAAUUAAAAUGUUAUUUUCUUAGAUGGGAAGGUGCCCUAUUGUCUGUUAAAUACAAGCCUCAAUAUGAAACAAACUAGGAGGAAACAACCACUUUUUCUGUUUCCUCUUAAAAGAUUGUCAUGCUACUGUGGAAAGGGCUUGGCAUUUGGAUUCAGAGGACCCUCGAUUUAAUCUCUUUUUUUGCCUCUCAUCAGCUGUAUAAUCUUUAACAGAUCUUUCAACCUCUUUAACACCUAAUUCACAUGGUUGUUAGCUUAGUAUUUAAAAGUCUAUGGUUCUGAACAGAAAGCUAUGAUGUGAUUUUCAUAACCACAGCACAAGCAUUCUCAGGAGUUGUUAGGGCUGAAAAUUCUAUAACCUCACCCAGACCCACUACAUGAGAAACCUUAGGGUGAUAAAUUUGAUUCCAUACAAUUAUGAUAUGUAAAAUCUACCCAAUAGUGUUUCAAACUUGGUCUCCUACAAAGUUACCAAAUGUUAGUUGUAAUUAUUCUUUUCUACUAUAUUCAUUUCUUUCAGUUACUAUUUGUUUUGGAUGAGCAAGGUCAGUAACAGAUUGGUGUUUGCUCCUCAAGUCAUACUGUUUUUUUUUCUUUUUUUUUUUUUCUCAAUGAAAAAUAACAUAAAGAACAGAAACAGGAAUAUCGGCUGGCAUUUAAGGCUGUGUCUCUUUAACUCCUCAGCCCAGGUUUCAUGCUCACCUCUGCUGCCUGGAAUGUGCUCUGGUGAUGGCAGAGAAUCAGACCCAGAAGCAGGCUUAUGCAUAGGAGAGAGGCUGUGACUUUGCAGUUACUUUUUUAUUCUUUGGGUAAAUGUAAGUGAACAACAUGUAAAUACAUAUUUGCUUCAAUAAAGAGAAUUUUGUAUUAUGCAACACAUAAAAUUUACCACAGUGAUUUGUCAUUUAAUUUCUACAUAAUUAAGUAGAAGUGAACCUACAUGUUCCAAGCCAAGUUAAAAAUCAUAUGAAGACACAUAAUGCACUGACAAAACCACAAUGGGAAAAGAGAGAAAAUUCAAAAAGCGUCAUUAAACUGAAAAAAGAUUGAGUGCAACAAAAGAACGCACACAAAAUUUUUUUAACUACCACCUAAGAAUAAAAUGGAAAUCUGGAGGGUUAUGUGCAACUAGGAAAUAAAAAUGAUUCAAUAAUAUGCCUUGUACAAUUUCCAACGUCAAAUAUUCCCAUUUCAGUAACUUUCUCAAAGAGUGAAAUCAUGUAAUCUCUUUUUACAUUAUGUCACUAAACUGUAGAGUAGGUAGAUUUAAGCUAAGAUGGCUCUGUAGCUACAAGAAAGGAAAUGAUGUGUCAUGGAUUUGGACUUGGAAAUAUACUCAGUAUUAUGCUCAUAUGGCCCUGUGCGGUAGAUAUUAUAUUGUCCUUGUGUUGCAGAGGCUCAAAGAAUUCAAGUGUUUCUUCUGGGGUCUUGGAUUGCCAGCAAUAGAGCCAAGAUUAGAAUACAGGGCUUUGAGUCUGGACUCAAUGCCCUGCACCACACUUCCACCAAGUUUUAUUGUGAGAACAUUGAUAGUCCAGAUUGUUCUAUGAUGGCACCUUGGCCAAUCUUGCUGUGUUUUGAAAACAUGAUGCCUUUAGAGUGCUUUCUCUGAGACUAAAAAUCAGUAUCAAUAUGGUGAAAAUACAUUCGCCCUGACUUUAUUACAAUAUUAAAAAGGGGUACAUAUUUGAGAAAAUGAGGUAAUCAGAAAGACAGUACUCAAAGACAAGCACUAUAUCUGAGAGCUCUGAGACAUACAGACUUGGUUUGCAUUCUAAAUUUUUGUUCCACUACUUAUUAGCUCAUUAAAUAGGGGUUGCUUCACCUCUGUGUUCCUGCUAUUAGUUUUUUCUUAACUAUAGACAAAACAGUACUUCCAAUUAUGCUGUAGCAUGUGAAUUUUAUGUCAGUUAAAAAUAAUCUAAAAAUAUUAUGUGAAAAUUCAAUGAGGUAAUGUAUUACAAUUAACAGUUACUAAAUAAGUGUUUGUUGCAUAAAAGAUGAAGCAAACCAUUACUAGCAUUAUAAUAAAAGCAAGAAUUAUUUUUUUCUUCUCUAGCAGAGAGGGAGUACAAAGGGCAGAUCAGUUUUAAUUGGGAAUGGCAAUGAGAGGCAUGCAUCAGGUGUUGGCGAGGUGGCCAUGAGCAUAAAGACAUGUGAGUGUUGAAAGAACGAGGCUACUAAAAGGAAAUGGGCACAGCGGCAGGUGGGUGGCUGAUGCUGCUUCAAGCUGAACUUUAAAGACACAGUGGAAACUGCUGUUUUGCCUCUUUUAGUCAGUUCCAUUCCUGUCCUGACAGGCGUUUAACAUGUCUACAUCCCCUGCCCCACCAUGCCACUGCAUACUUGUGGGCUGUUGCUCAUGUUUUUCCCCAGCAUGUGUGUACUAGGAUUUUAUUGAAUUCUCUGGUUUGUACUGAGGUCACUUAGCCAUCAGUCUAGACUAAACUCAGAUAUCUGCCUCUUAAGAGCUGCCAACCUAGACUUAGAUCCCUUAGCAGUACUUCUGAAUUCUCUAGGUACAUCUGUCCCGUAUUACUUCUUACAUUACAAAAAUAAAUUAUUGGGUGUGCAUUGAUUUUCUCUAUUACUCCAUGAGCUUCUCAGAAGUGCAAGAUUCGUGUCUUAUAUGUAUCUUACUCUCUUAGAAUUCAACAAUAUGCCCAGCAUAAAGAGAUUAUUUGGAAAAACUGGAGUUUGAAUUAAACUGAAUUGAACCAAUGUUGAAAUAAGGAUUCCUUACCUAUUUUAUAAAAUUUCACUUGACAGUAAGUUUUGUACUCAAAAGGAAAUUUUAUUGUAUCACGAAUUGAAGUCACAACCUUGUGCUUGUACGUAUUGUGAAAUGGGAACUGUUCAAAAGGAAAGAGAAGCUGGAAAGGAGAAAAGGAGAAAAAAGGAAGGCUAAAGGAAAAAAAUAUAUAUAUAUGAUAGUUAAGAUACUUAUACUACUAAUUUCUAUUAGUUUAUUGAAAAGAAAGUUUUGUGCCAAUAUUUUUGAUCAAUUUUUUCAUGCCUAUAUCUUAUGAGCAACUACUUUGAAGAUAAUACACAAUGUAUUAACCGUUGCUAUUCUUUUACUAUCUUGUUUUGAAAUUUCAUACUAUUGCUUUACUACAGUUUCUAUUUAAAUAAAAAAUAAAGUAAAAAUUUAAAAAUAUAUAAAUGUCUAUAUCUUCAUAAUUGCUAAAAAAAGUAAAAAUAUAUCUGACUUUAUUCUUGCAAAUGAAAACUGGUAUUUUAACACUGCUGAAUUUCUGUAUUUCAGGCAGUUCAAAUAUUAUUAAGAUUUCUAUGUAAGAUAAAAAAAAAAAAGAAAAAAGAAAAAGAAAAUCUAAUCAGCUGGGAGGUCCAAACAAAUCAAGGAAUUGAAGUGCAGUAAUGACCCAGGGAGAAAGUUUUAAGUCCUAAGACUCAUGUGAAAGAUUUCUCAGGUAUACUUUGAGGAAACAGCUAUCCUUAAUCACUCAAAAUAAAGGAGCCCAGGCUCUCAGUUGUCCUCGGUUCCUGUGUUUGUGCCUUUUUUCAUUUCAGUUUGUUCAGCAGUCAUUUUUCAUUCAUUAUGAUACAACAGCUACUUAUCUCCAGAGAGGCAAUAUGCAGGCUCCUUAGGAGUGAAUGUUGGCUCAGAAAAAUGUUACCUGUGACACAGAAAACUAAAAGCAGGUAGAAGUGGAAUAUACUCCAGCAUCUGGGUACAGAAGACCAGACUUCAAGCUUCAAACUCCUCAGUAUGGUUGUUGGAUAGCGUGAAACCCAUCUGUGGCAAUCAUCCAAUUUGGUGGAAAGAUAAAACAAAAUCAAACAAAAAUUGGUAGGUUGAGUGUUGUUACAGGAUAAAGAAUUCAGCUCUAUGAGAUUUGAGGAGGGAGAAAGAGUCUGAGUGUGGAGCAAUGUUUGUGAUUCCUACAUUUGUGGGAUCUUCCUGGCGUCUCAUCCCAGAACAGUUCCAGGGUAAGCAAUACUUCUGCUCACUCAGACACUCUCAGCGUAAACAAGGGAGUGCAGACACUGUGUCUGAGAGCUCACUCUGCAGAGUUUGGAACUUGAGAACAUAAUGCUGAUCUGUCAACAACCUAUGUAAGUGAGAUGCUUGGUAGCGGACUCACGUUUUUCCCGUACCUUCAUUUGAAACACUCCUGCCACUCAGAACCUUGCUCUAGCACCCAACCUCAACGAUGGAAGGAUGGAAUGUAGCUGUGGAUGGCCUUAGCUUGUUUCUCAUAUGUGGGCAGAGGCUGGGAAGAAGAACUAUGUAUAAAUUAAUUUUUUUUUCACAACCCUCCUUGUACAAGGUGGUUUCUAACAAUAAAAAUCUAAGGGAAA
Cavia porcellus (domestic guinea pig) is the source of this 8507-nucleotide long non-coding RNA. RefSeq lists it as uncharacterized. NCBI's taxonomy places the organism in Eukaryota, Metazoa, Chordata, Mammalia, Rodentia, Caviidae. The record is from RefSeq and is a predicted model, not a curated record. The transcript is spliced from 4 exons.